UGCGGUUAAACAAAUAAUGCUACUAUUUUUAUUUGGUUUUUAAUUUUUAGUUAAUAAGAAUUAAUUUUUAUUUAAUUUAAUAUUGGGUGAAAUCCUAUUUUUUUUUAAUUAAGUUUUUGAUUAUGAGGUUAAGAAAUCUAGAUUUUAAACUGGGAUUAGAUACCCCAUUAUUCUAGAUGUUGAUGUUUAAACCUGAUAAAUAUUAGUUAUGUUCUUUAAAAUCAAAAAAUUUGGCGGUUUUUUAUUCCAAUCAGGGGAAUCUGUCCUGUAAUCGAUAGUCCACGAUUAAUAAAACUUUUAUUAUUGCUUGUAUAUCGUCGUUGUUAAUUAUUUUUGGAAAUAUAUAAUUAGAAUAUAAAACUAUAUAAAAUAUCAGAUCAAGGUGCAGCUUAUAGAAGUAGAGAUGGAUUACAAUAAAUUUAUUUAAGGAUAAAUUUUAGCAUUAUUAUUUAGAAUUUGGAUUUGAAUGUAAUUUUAGUUAUUAAUUGAGAUGAAUUAGGCUCUAGAAUGUGU
RNAcentral lists this ribosomal RNA (513 nucleotides) under Dematochroma sp. 'Thasycles' JGZ07-2021. RNAcentral describes it as "partial 12S ribosomal RNA". Lineage: Eukaryota; Metazoa; Arthropoda; Insecta; Coleoptera; Chrysomelidae. The record is from RNAcentral.